Molecule: ribosomal RNA, 253 nt
Filed under: uncultured bacterium
Lineage: Bacteria
Description: partial 16S ribosomal RNA
Rfam family: Bacterial small subunit ribosomal RNA
Source: RNAcentral
UACAUGGGGUGCAGACGUUGCUCGGAAUUAUUGGGCGUAAAGCGCGCGUAGGCGGUUAUCUAAGUCGGAUGUGAAAGCCCUCGGCUUAACUGAGGAAGUGCACCCGAAACUGGAUAGCUAGAGUACGAAAGAGGGUCGCGGAAUUCCCGGUGUAGAGGUGAAAUUCGUAGAUAUCGGGAGGAACACCGGUGGCGAAGGCGGCGACCUGGGUCGAGACUGACGCUGAGGCGCGAAAGCGUGGGUAGCAAACAGG